AGCGAACGCUAGCGGCGAGCUUAACACAUGCAAGUCGAGCGGAGGGUUUCGGCCCUCAGCGGCGGACGGGUGAGUAACACGUAGGUUACGUGCCCUUUGGUGGGGAAUAACUUAGGGAAACCUGAGCUAAUACCGCAUAUGCCCUUCGGGUGAAAGUCUUCGGACGCCAGAGGAUCGGCCUGCGGCCCAUUAUUUAAUCCUUGUUGGUGGGGUAACGGCCUACCAAGGGUACGAUGGGUAGCUGGUCUGAGAGGAUGAUCAGCCACACUGGGACUGAGACACGGCCCAGACUCCUACGGGAGGCAGCAGUGGGGAAUAUUGGACAAUGGGGGAAACCCGUGAUCCAGCUACGCCGCGUGGGUGAUGAAGGCCUCGGUUGUAAGA
RNAcentral lists this ribosomal RNA (384 nucleotides) under uncultured bacterium. RNAcentral's name for it is "bacterial SSU rRNA". It matches the Rfam family "Bacterial small subunit ribosomal RNA", at positions 29 to 430 of the family's 1533-position model. The record is from RNAcentral.